UACGUAGGCAGCAAGCGUUGUUCGGAGUUACUGGGCGUAAAGGGUGUGUAGGCGGUCCUCUAAGUUUGGUGUGAAAUCUCCCGGCUCAACUGGGAGGGUGCGCCGAAAACUGGGGGGCUAGAGUGCGGGAUGGGAGAGUGGAAUUCCUGGUGUAGCGGUGAAAUGCGUAGAUAUCAGGAGGAACACCUGUGGUGUAGACGGCUCUCUGGACCGCAACUGACGCUGAGACACGAAAGCGUGGGUAGCAAACAGG
RNAcentral lists this ribosomal RNA (253 nucleotides) under uncultured bacterium. RNAcentral's name for it is "partial 16S ribosomal RNA". It matches the Rfam family "Bacterial small subunit ribosomal RNA", at positions 524 to 776 of the family's 1533-position model. The record is from RNAcentral.